Molecule: long non-coding RNA, 2485 nt
Filed under: Homo sapiens (human)
Lineage: Eukaryota; Metazoa; Chordata; Mammalia; Primates; Hominidae
Description: HSALNT0057465
Source: RNAcentral
CUUCAAUAAAUCUAAUACUAGGAAAAAUAUAGGCAUAUAGGAACAAAUGUUCAGAUCAACCUCAGUUUAGCUUUUAAAAAAUAGAAAAUCACUACAUAGUGAUGAUAUAAUGCUAAAAUGCUAGCCUAUUUAGUUGUGUUUAAAGCUGUGGCGGGUAAAUGAAGAUAAAAUUUUUCUGUGCAUUUGUUUUCAGUUCUUCAAUAACCACGUAUUUCUACUAUGGAUUAGACUAUGUCUGAAAAGAAUUGCAUAACUACUGGAAAACAGAUUAUCCUACUGUUAUUCAAAGUGAAUUUCUCUUUCAAUUUCUUACUGGUGUUAAUUCAGUCUACCUGAAGACCACAGUGCACCUCCAGAUGGCCUGAACACCUAACUGUCUUAUGCAUGCAGGUUCAUGGUAAUAAAGGGUGUCUGGAGGGGAGAAAUGUCAAUUCUCUGGAGCAAAUUUUUAACCACUAUUUUCUGUUCAUCACUGUACUCUGCUGACCCUCCUAGUCAGCAGAGUAUUUGAGAUAAGUGCUUCUGCACGCUAAGGAGUACAAGAUUUGAAAAGCCAAAUGUUUCUUUAUGACUUAUCCUUCCAUGUGUCUUUUGCUGUUACAAUAUUUAGAGACAGGAAUCUUCUGCAGGUUUUUGACUUGCAUGUCUGUACAUAGGUGAGGAUGACUCAAAGGCUCAGCUCAUCUUGGACUGCAGGCUGCAUUGCCUAUGGGUGGCUCAGAGCACGAAUUCCAUGGAAAAAGGCAAAGGCAGUAUGGUGGUUUUCUGUUCUAACCACUGAGGUUAUGUAGUGUCACUUUCUUCACAUUCCACUGGACUCCUGACAAGUCUGUCAUUAAGGACAGUUCCAGAUUCGAGUGGUAGGGAAUUAGAUCCCAGUCAUCUUCAAAACCUCCACACAGCCUUCCACACUCAAAACCACGAAAUAGAUUGGACUCAACCCUCCACAUUGCCCUAAUUAGUUCCUGUUGAGUCCCCCUUUGAAAUGGCUCCUGGUUUCCUUCCUCUGCCCUUUGCCACCACCCUACUUUAGUCUCACAUACUUUCUCAUCUGAACUUUUGCAAUGCUCUCCCUGCCUCUGGGCACUCUGACCUUUCCCUCUCUUCAGAAUUAUUUUCCUAGGUCCCAUUAUCACCACCCUGCUGAAAUAGUCAAAGAAUCUCCUCUCCAGACAGAAUUCUAAAGUCAGUCUGACAUUCAAGCAAUCCACCAUUUAACUCCUACCUCGUGUUUCAGGCUUAUCUUCUACAUUUCUCUGUGCACUUCAGUCUCAGACCAUAUACUCACCACUCACCACUUUUCCUGAACUUCCCCCAAAUUAUAUCCCCUCUGGCCUUUUCUCAGGCUGCUGCUAUCUCUGCUUGGAAUGUCUUAUGUGCCCGCUCAUCCUUCCAUGCCCAUUUUAAAUCUUCUUCAAGAAACCUUCCUUGGAGUCAAUCUCUUCUACCCUUUCAACACAUUUUACUUUUAGUAUUGCUGUCAACAUAUUCCAUUUACAGUCAUUCAAUCCACAUCCCACUUAUUACAAAAUAUUGAAGGUGGAUCUUUCCUUAUUUAUAGUACCUGCUACCUAAUGAAUGAUGUGUUAACCUUUGUUUUCCAACACUGUUUUGCAAUAUAUCGUAGUAUCAAGCUUAGUGUUGUUUAGUUGUCUGUAUAACUGUCUUAUUCCUAGUCUGUGAAAACAGAAGUUCCCAGUAUCUCUAAAAGCCCAUUUAGAAAUUGUUUUCAAGGAUGUAUUGUAUUAUCCCUGCCACAAGUAUGAAUUAUGUAUUUGAAAUCUCACAUUUUAAAAUUUCAUCUUUCUUCCCAAAGAAACACAUAACAAUCCAAUUUCAUAAUAAACCUAAAUUAGCACAUUUAAGUUAGUGACGCUUAGACAUUUGUAAAUGGCUUGACUAAAUUCCCUUGUAUUGUUACCUGAAAUCAAGUCAUAAGUUGUACAACAUAAAACCUCACUGAUAUGGUUAGGGUUUGUGUCCCCACCCAAAUCUCACCUGGAAUUGUAAUCCCCCAAAUCCCCAGGUGUCAAGGGAGAGACCAGGUGGAGGUAAUUGAGUCAUGAGGGUAAACCAUCCCCGUGCUGUUCUCGUGGUAGUGAGUGAGUUCUCACAGGAUCUGAUAAUUUUAUAAGGUGCUCUUCCCUUCUUUGCUCAGCACUUCUCCUUCCUGCUGCCUUGUGAAGAAGGUGCCUUGCUUCCCUUUUGCCUUCUGCCAUGAUUGUAAGUUUCCUGAGGCCUCCCAGCCAUGCUGAACUAUGAGUCAAUUAAACCUCUUUCCUUUAUAAAUUAUUCAGUCUCGGGCAGUUCUUUAUAGCAGUAUGAAAACAGAAUAAUGCACUCACAGACCUGUUUCUACAAGUUGCUUUUUUUUUUUUUUUUUUUUUUUUUGAGGCAGAGUUUCACUCUUGUUGCCCAGGCUGGAGUGCAAUGGUGCGAUCCUGGCUCACCACAACCUCUGCCUCCUGGGUUCAAGCCAUUCUCU